CAGUAGCCGCGGGAAUACGUAGGGUGCGAGCGUUAAUCGGAAUUACUGGGCGUAAAGCGUGCGCAGGCGGUUCGUUAAGGCAGAUGUGAAAUCCCCGGGCUUAACCUGGGAACUGCAUUUGUGACUGGCGAGCUAGAGUAUGGCAGAGGGGGGUAGAAUUCCGCGUGUAGCAGUGAAAUGCGUAGAGAUGUGGAGGAAUACCGAUGGCGAAGGCAGCCCCCUGGGCCAAUACUGACGCUCAUGCACGAAAGCGUGGGGAGCAAACAGGAUUAGAUACCCCCGUAGUCCCUGUCUCUUAUAC
Molecule: ribosomal RNA, 301 nt
Filed under: uncultured bacterium
Lineage: Bacteria
Description: partial 16S ribosomal RNA
Rfam family: Bacterial small subunit ribosomal RNA
Source: RNAcentral